CCCCAAAUCAUGGCUAAGUGGGAAAGGAUGUGGGAGCGCAUAGACAACCAGGAAGUUGGCUUAGAAGCAGCCAUCUUUUAAAAGAAAGCGUAACAGCUCACUGGUCAAGCGCGCCUGCGCCGAAAAUGUAACGGGGCUCAAGCCAUGUGCCGAAGCUUAGGGCAUCGUAUGAUGCGGUAGCGGAGCGUUCCGUAAGCCUGUGAAGGUCACUUGUGAAGGUGGCUGGAGGUAUCGGAAGUGAGAAUGCUGACAUGAGUAGCGACAAACAGAGUGAAAGACUCUGUCGCCGAAAGACCAAGGGUUCCUGCGUAAAGCUAAUCUGCGCAGGGUUAGCCGGCCCCUAAGGCGAGGCGGAAACGCGUAGUCGAUGGGAACCACGUUAAUAUUCGUGGGCCAGUGGAUGGUGACGGAUGACGAAAGUCGUUGGGGCUUAUUGGAUUGUCCCAGCGGCCUGGUUGUUCCAGGAAUAGCUCCACAUUAGACCGUACCCGAAACCGACACAGGUGGUCAGGUAGAGUAUACC
This 523-nucleotide ribosomal RNA is filed under the name uncultured bacterium. Its description in RNAcentral is "bacterial LSU rRNA". It matches the Rfam family "Bacterial large subunit ribosomal RNA", at positions 1046 to 1682 of the family's 2925-position model. The record is from RNAcentral.